Molecule: long non-coding RNA, 449 nt
Organism: Zea mays
Lineage: Eukaryota; Viridiplantae; Streptophyta; Magnoliopsida; Poales; Poaceae
Exons: 2
Source: RefSeq, a predicted model, not a curated record
CUCGCCUAACGCCAUCGCUCACUGCGUCCCCUCCCACCGCGUCGAGGCCCCGUUCGGGCUGCCUCUCCGUGCACGUCAGCGCGCCAAGCUCGACACGCCAUAGCCUGCAGAGCCGCUACUUAGAGCCCUUGCCACAUUGCGCCGACCACUGUGCCCGGAGAACUGUCGUCAAACAUCACCAUCCAUGGUGCUACCCCGACCGGAUUCCGCUCGAGAUUAUCCACAUUGCAAUAAUUGCUCCGGAGAAGACGAAGGCAACCUGGAGGACUUACAAGAGUUUUAGAACUUCGAGAAGUUUUAGACUAGAUUAAUAUCAACCCCCAAUUAGCUUCCUGUGAAUGUCUUAUCUUUACUACGUUUUACUUUAACACUUUGAUUACUCGUUAAGUUGAUGACUAUGCGGAUGUCUUCAACUUUAUGAUGUAAUAAAUUAAUAUCUUUUUAUGUUA